Molecule: long non-coding RNA, 2094 nt
Organism: Triticum dicoccoides
Lineage: Eukaryota; Viridiplantae; Streptophyta; Magnoliopsida; Poales; Poaceae
Exons: 4
Source: RefSeq, a predicted model, not a curated record
CUCCCCCAAUCCCCGCCUCCUCUCCUCCUCCCCAAUCCGACGCCUCUCGCCGCCCUCUCUCCUUCCCCUACGCUUUCGACCCCACCCUCGCCAGCUCCCAAGGAUCCGCCGAGUGGAGAACCAGGAAGGAGGAGGGACGUGAAUAGGAGAAGAGGGGGUGCGUCACAGGAGACCUAGGCGGCGGCUCGAGCAGAGGAGCGGGGCCUCGAGAUGCUGCAUUCGCCACUCCCCUGCCUCGAACCAGCUGCCGCCAUGGAGAAGGACGUGCAGUAGGGGAGGCCGGCGGUGGAGGGAGGAGCGGCGAGGACAGAGGCGCCGGCUGUCAGGGACCUCCCAGCCUUCUUCUUCUCCACGUCAGGUGGAGUUGGAGCCGUCGAGCGCGACCUCGAUCUGGAGUAGGGUAGCAGCAGCCACAGGGUGCUCCAACCUCGUCUCCGCGGGAGGGGGCAGGCGCAACUCCUCCUCUCCACUCCCCCACGUGACAGCGGCCCCAACCCCCACCCCAACCCCACCACCUCUAGCCCCUCUGCAAUGGAAGUCUCUUUUUUUCUCUCUUCUUCCGCCCCCGUCCAAGGAUUGGUCUGUGAUUCUCGUCUGUUGUUUUUGUUGGGCAGUGUUUCGGUGUUUGGUUUUAAUGGUGGGUGGUGAGAAGAACAGAGGUGGAAGCAGGACCGCGAGGCCGGAGCUCCAGGUGUCGCUCGCGUUUAGGUGGAGUGGAGAGGUGUCGCGGGCCAUGACUGAUGGGUCGUUGCUCACUGGUCGUCGUCCCCUGUCCACCAUCCAGGUGCCUAUGCGAGAAACAUUGGAAGAAUCCAUGUAUUUAGCCGUGGCAUGUUUGGCAGCUACAGCAGCUUCUGCAGCUUUCUUCCCUCGUCAUUCCUCAUAUAUGUGGGCAAUUCAAUGUUGUUACCAGUGGGAGUCCAUAGUGCGUGUGUGUCUGGUCCAGUAUGUGGUUCCAUAGGAUAAGAAAAAAGUUUGUCAAGAAUGGAUCUCUAAAUGUGUUUCGCCUUGAGGUAAAUAAUUUGCAUGAUGUCUACUUUUCGUUAAUUUGGGUCAGGCCAAAAUAAGGUGUAGGCAAAUUUCAGAUUUUUUAUCUGUACUGCAUUUUCACAAAUUAAAACAGUGACCUUGACAUUACCAGUCUAUGGGGGGAGUCAUGGAGAAGCCAAGCUUAAAUGAGAUUUCAAAAUUUUGUGGCCUUUGUUAACAUUUAAAAACCUGGUGCUUCUACUUGUGAAAGAACAGGUAGAGAUAAGGCCCAUCAGUUCAGGUAGAGAUAAUGAAAGAACAGAAGAAGGACUGAGCAAGAGGAGGAACUUCGUCGACCCAGCCGUGAGCAAAUGAUGCUCUAGCGAGUCGAUGAUGACCGUCAUGGAGAUCUGCCUGCGGGGCCUGACCAAGGAACCAACGCUGAAGCCGUUAGACGAGGACGUGCUCUAGAACCUGCAGUUUGCAGCCCUAGUGUAGGAUGACUGGAACAGCGAGGAGUCCCCGCUCUCAUCGUCGCAGAUCCGUGCACAAUCCGCAGAGUACUAACCUCUAGGAAGGCUGAGAAAAAAUAUUGGCAAGCAUUACCAUUAUGAUCCUCCAUCGAUCAUCAUUGUUGACGGAAUUUCUGUUUCUCUUCAUAUAGGAUACAGAUAUGUGAUUCUCAUGUGAUCCUUUUGCUGGAAACUUGCUAAUCUUAGGGGUGUUGCUACUGGUGUAGAAACCGUUUUAUCAAAAGAACUAAAGUAGUAGCUAAUCCAAGCAUUCAAGAAUUGACCCAGAGGUUACGCUAUACCGGCACGAAGUCAGAGCAGCGCCUAAAGACUACACAAGAUAGUUUCUGAUGACCUUCAGUCUAUAUGUCCUAACCAACAACAUCCACCUUUUGUUUUAUCAAUUGAUCCAGUAUCUUUGCCCUUUUGGCAUUGCUUUGAGCAAGAUAUGUAUAGCCUUUAGAUUUCCAUUCAUGUAUGAUACUGCACGUACACUUUAGACCUCAUUACUGUCUCUGUGGUCAAAAGAAGUUUGUGAUUAAUUGUUCUAUAUAUGUAAUCAACUGCCCUUCUACUAAUAUUUUCAGAAGACUAUUUAUAUAUGUUUACACUG